RNAcentral lists this long non-coding RNA (7003 nucleotides) under Triticum aestivum (bread wheat). Its description in RNAcentral is "long non-coding RNA (TAES_LNC024670)". The record is from RNAcentral. Lineage: Eukaryota; Viridiplantae; Streptophyta; Magnoliopsida; Poales; Poaceae.
GUUGUCUGCUGUUGCUGGUGGUGCUCUCUCAUGCUUGGAGGUUCUAAUCCAGGUACAUGAUCCAACUGGGAUGAGUAAAGAAUUAUUUGCUUCAUUUCAUUAUUGUCACUCUUGUCAUGACUUGGUCUUUUGCUUACUCGAUGAUCUGUUUCCCUGUUAGACAAUGUGGUUUCUGCCUUGGGAAUUUGGCAAGCAUAAACUUGAAUAUUUCUUAAUUACUGCAAUGCUCGCAAUUGUAUUUUUGGAAUCUAUAUAGUUGUUAAGGUUUUGAUCGAUUGGCAUAUACUUGUUAAUCUCUAGAACUAUAGUGACAAGAUGCUUAGUCUUGGUCUCUUUUGUGUUGAUUUCAACUAAAUAAUUUUUGUGACAUAUGUAGUUUGGUCUCAGUCUGUUGUACUGUGCCAUGUUACCGAGUUCAUAAUUUUGUUGUUGCAUAACUAGCGGUUUCAUCACUGGUACAAUAGUUGUGUGAUCAAUAUUAUGCUACCGGUUUUGAUUCUGUAGUAGUGUUGGUUUCACUGUGGUCUAUAGCAGAACACCCAAAAGUGAGGUGCAUUUGUACAUUAGAUGGUCCCGUUUGAGUCCAUACUUUUCUCUACCAAGUAUAAGCGUUUCCAAAAUAUUAAAUGUGUUGUGCCUUUGAUGAAAUUGUCAGAAUGUAAUUUGAAUUAUCACUGUCUUGUUAUCACGUAAAAAAGGCAGCUCUGAAUAAUUCUUUACCAUGUUGUAUCGUAUUGUACUGCCGGUGUAUCUACUCAAAAUAAUAAUUUUAUCCUUAAUGAAGGAUGUUAUGGAACUAGGGCCCCCUGCCAAUAAGUUCUGAAUUGAUGUCAGGCAACGCCCUUAACCAAGGCUACUUAUGCCUAUUUGCUACUUUGCUGCUACUGUUGUAUUAAUCAUGUAGUGUCCGCUCUUCAUUAAGCUGGUGGCCUGCUUUAUUAAACUGAUAGAAACUUGGUGAGUCACUGAGCCCUGAAUGCUCACAACAGAACUAUCACAUUGUUUUCUUGAGACUGUUAAGAAACUGUUGGUUUUCCGAACAUCGGUGCAACCACAAUCAAAAGUUUAAUACAUUUUUUGUCAGUGAGUUGUUACAGGUUUAGGUUAAUUAAACCAAGUAUGCUUGGUUUUUGAGUGCUAGAAAGUUUUGUUUUUGUUCUGGCAACACAAUAAAUAACAACUCAUGAUUGACUGGGAGGUUGGUGCAAUGUUCAUCAUUGUGUUGCAAGUUGCGGCCUGUUAGUAAAUAGUAGCGCUUUUCUUGAUUGUCUCCCAAAUCCUUGGUCGUAUGUGGUGCAACCAAGCUGCUAAAAGUAGUGGCUGUGGAUGCACUGAAUUUCUUUUUGUUUUAUACCCUUAUUUUUUUCCUGUGGUGCAAUUGAUCUGCUAAAGCCUGAAAAUAUUAGCUGUAGGGACACAAGUUUUUUUAAUAUAAAAAAUGGAAGUCCGCAAGUGCUGACAUACUGCGAUUGCUGCAUGCAGGGACUGGCUCUCUGACGUUGCUCCUUGAGGAUGAUGCAGUUGAAACACUCUCUGGUGAGUUCCUGGUCCCCUCCCUCUCUCCCUUGUGCCUGAGAUUGUCCGGCCAUCGAGCCAUGACUGAUUGGUGCCGACCAUCGGGCCAAUGAUUGAGGGCCUGGUUAUGUGGUCAUGGUUCCUGUGGUUUUGUCCUUCGGCCACCGCAAUCUCGUGAUUGUGAUGAUCUUGUUGGCAUGCUUAUGUUACUUUCUAGGAAUUACUUUUGAUAAGAACUGGUGUUUGUUUAGCCUUUUUAUUUCCAGAUGAUGUUAGACCAGGUUUAAUUUCAUGAAGUGGCAUGGUAUAGUAACUAAUUGGCCAUGGUUAUGUGAUUGUUUGAGUUGUAAUUCAGUGAAUUUGCUUCUUGGCCAUGCCAGGAUUGACCUUUAGAGUUUAUAUUUCUCGCCGUGAUUCUUGUCUUGUUUCAUAGGUAUAAGGACAAAUAUUCUUUUACCAAGUGCUAGUGCUGUGCUUAGAGUUGAUGAUAAGAAUGUGGCAUGCUUCACCUAUUAUCAUGUGCCGUGUCGUGCUGUGUACAAUAACAAUAGUAAGGAUCGCUUGACUGAUGAGCUUGCUUUAUCAUAUUUGCAAGCAAUUUUUUGUAUAUGUGGCAGUUAAUAUGAUGGCAUGGGGAGUAGAGAGCAUUUUGUGGUUUGACAUUUAUUUGGCUAUGUGGUGGUCAUCCUGGAAUGGAAGUAAUAAUCUUUGUAUGUGAAUCCAUCACUUUCUACUGCAGCAAUGGAGGAUGAUAUGAAGCGCCAAGACCAACAACUUUUUUUUGUUCGGCAUUGCUGAGUACUGGAGUAGGCGUUUUGCAUCACCAACGAGGAAAUCUGUCGUGCUGGGGGUCUGGGUGGUGGCGGCCAGAGCGUGGGACUCCCCCAUGGAUUCGACGGGAUUCAAGUGUGCUUCGAACGUAUGGUAGAUCUUUUUUAUUUCAGAGGCAACCAUGGAUCAUGCAAAAUGCGUGCUCUUAAUUAGUUGGAUAAUCUUCUGUGGUUGCAUUUGCGUGUCGGUCUGUGGGAACAUAAUAGGUUGACAUUGUGUUUGUUANNNNNNNNNNNNNNNNNNNNNNNNNNNNNNNNNNNNNNNNNNNNNNNNNNNNNNNNNNNNNNNNNNNNNNNNNNNNNNNNNNNNNNNNNNNNNNNNNNNNNNNNNNNNNNNNNNNNNNNNNNNNNNNNNNNNNNNNNNNNNNNNNNNNNNNNNNNNNNNNNNNNNNNNNNNNNNNNNNNNNNNNNNNNNNNNNNNNNNNNNNNNNNNNNNNNNNNNNNNNNNNNNNNNNNNNNNNNNNNNNNNNNNNNNNNNNNNNNNNNNNNNNNNNNNNNNNNNNNNNNUACGUGAUAUUCAGUGCCUUCCACAAUUUGGUGUGUUAUGGCUCACCCAGAUGGGUUCCAAAAAAUGAAGUAUGCUUUGGAGUCAUUUGCCUGAAAGGCACGCAGACACAUCUACCUGUUUUCUUGGAUGAUUAAUUAGACUCUGGUGAUGUGAAAGCAUAUUCUGAUCUGUAGAACUUUGCAUGUCUAGUAGAUCGAUCAACAAUUCAGCAUAUGUAUUGACUUGAUACGUGUUGACUGUUCCUGUAGAUUCUAGUUUUCUGAUGUGCAAGUUUAUUUGGAUCCAUAGGACCUUUGCACGACUAAUUUUGUGAGUUUGGAUUUAUUAUUGUCAAGUUUCGUGGAAGUCUGUUAUUAAAUAGUAGGGCUUUUCUUGAUUUUCUUCCAUAUCCUUGUUCGCAUGUGGUGCAACCAAGCUGCUAAAAGUAGUGGCUGUAGAGGACCGGAGGCACUGAGUAUCUGUUUGUUUUAUACCCUUUUUUUGUUCUCCUAUGGUGCAACUGAUCUGCUAAAUCCUAACUAUUACCUUUAGGGACACUGAGUUUUUUAAUAUACAAAAAUGAAAGUUUACAUCCGCUGACAGAAUUCGAUUGUUGUAUGCAUGGACUGGCUCUCUGAAGUUGCUCCUUGAGGAUGAUGCACUUGAAAUGCUUCUCUGGUGAGUUCCUGGUCCCCUCCCUCUCUCCAUUGUGCCCUGAGAUUGUCCGGUCAUCUGGCUGAUUGAGGGCCCAGUUAUGUGGUCAUGUUUUCUGUGGUGGCUGUCCUCUGGCCACCGCAAUCUUGUGAUUGUGAUGAUCUUGUGGCAUGCUUAUGUUUCUUAGGUAUUACUUUUGAUAAGAACUGGUCUUGGUUUAGCUUGUUUAUUUUCAGAUGAUGUUACACUGGGUCUAAUUUCCUGAAGUGGCAUAUGGUAUAGUAACUAAUCGGUCAUGGUUAUGCGACUGUUUGAGUUGUAAUUCAGUGGAUAUGCUUCUUGGCCAUGCUAGAAUUGGCCUUUAGGGUUUAUAUUUCUUGCCUAGGGGAUUCUUGUCUUGUUUCAUAGGUAUGAUAAGCACAAAUAUUCUGUACUUGAUCUUUUACCAAGUGCUAGUGCCGGGCUUUGUGUUGAUGAUAAGAAUGUGGCAUGGAUUAAUUUUCUGUGGUAUUGUGUAUGAAUUCAAUUUAGAUCUGUGGGAUUUCAUUAACUUCUGAACUAAAGAUAGUUCUUACAAACGUUGCUUUUUUGCAGUCGAACACUGAAAUAGCCUAUGGUAUCACAUCGUUGUUGUCUGCUGUUGCUCUCUCAUGCUUGGAGGUUCUAAUCCAGGUACAUUAUCCAAUUGGGAUGAGUAAAGAAAUUGUUUGCUUCAUUUUGUUAUUGUCUCUGUUGUCAUGACUCGGUCUUUUUGCUUACUGGAUGCUCUGUUUCCCUGUUAGACAAUGUGGUUUGUGCUUUGGGAAUUUGGCAAACAUGCACUUGAAUAUUUCUUAAUUACUGCAAUGCCGGCUAUUGUAGUUUUGGAAUCUAUAUACUUAAUCUUGAUUGUUUCUUAAUCAUGUAGUGUCUGCCCUAAAUAGGCCCUAAGCAAUUCUACCAUCACCUGAAAGGUUGUUUCUGUUCUACCUAAGUUUUCACUAGUGGACUCGGUAGUACAAACCUGAAACCACUUUUAACUUUGGUUGAUUGGUGAAUGACAAAGUGUUAUGUCAUAAUUGCCCCCAUGGAAAUGGUGUAUUAAGACUGUUGAUAAACUGUCAUAUUGAAGAGCUGGUGGAAGCCAUUUGUGCCGCUUUAUAAAGUUGCGUCCUGUUAUUAAAUAGUAGGGCUUUUCUUGAUUGUCUUCCAUAUCCUUUUCCGUAUGUGGUGCAACCAAGCUGCUAAAAGUAGUGGUUGUGUAUGCACCGAGUUUCUUUUUGUUUUAUACCCUUAUUUGUUUUCCUGUGGUGCAAUUGAUCUGCUAAAGCCUAAAAAUAUUAGUUUUAGGGACACAAGUUUUUUUAAUAUAAAAACUGGAAGUCCACAAGUGCUGACAGAAUGCGAGGGUCUGGCUCUCUGAUGUUGCUCCUUGAGGAUGAUGCAAUUGAAACGCUCUCUGGUGAGUUCCUGGUCCCCUGCCUCUCUCCCUUGUGCCUGAGAUUGCCCGGCCAUCGAACCAUGUCUGAUUGGUGCCGACCAUUGGGCCAAUGAUUGAGGGCCUGGUUAUGUGGUCAUGGUUCCUACGGUGGUGUCCUUUGGCCACGGCAAUCUUGUGAUUGUGAUGAUCUUGUUAGCCUAUUUUUGUUACUUUCUAGGAAUUACUUUUGAUAAGAACUGGUGUUUGUUUAGCCUUAUUAUCUCCAGAUGAUGUUACACCAGGUUUAAUUUCAUGAAGUGGCAUGGUAUAGUAACUAACUGGCCAUGGUUAUGCGAUUGUUUGAGUUGUAAUUCAAUGAUUAUGCUUCUUGGCCAUGCUAGGAUUGACCUUUAGAGUUUAUAUUCUCGCUGUGAUUCUUGUCUUGUUUCAUAGGUAUAAGGACAAAUGUUCUUUUACCAUGUGCUAGUGCUUGUGCUUUGUGUUGAUGAUAAGAAUGUGGCAUGCUCGCCUAUUAUAUCAUGUGCCGUGCUGUGCUGUGCACAUUAACAAUAGUAAUAGGAUCGUUUGACUGAUGAGCUUGCUUUAUCAGAUUUGCAAGCAAUUUUUUUGUAUAUGUGGCAGUGUAACUCUGUUGUGAAAUAUGAUGGCAUGGGGAGUAGGGAGCAUUUUGUGGCUUGUCAUUUAUUUGGCUCUGGGGUGGUCAUCUUGGAAUGGAACUAAUAAUCUUUGUGCGUGAAUCCAUCACUUUCUACUGCAGCAAUGGAGGAUGAUAUGAAGCGCCAAGGCCAGCAACUUUUUGUUGUUUGGCAUUGAUGACUGCUGAGUACUGGAGUCGGCGUUUUGCAUCACCAACGGGGAAAUCUGCUGUGCUGGGGGUCUGGUUGGCGGCGGCCAGAGCGUGGGACCCUCCCAUGGAUUCGAGGGGAAGUGUGCUUCGAAGGUAUGAUAGAUCUUUUUUAUAUCAGAGGCAACCAUGGAUCAUGCAAAAUGCAUACUCUUAGUUUGUUGGAUAAUCUUCUGUGGUUGCAUUUGUGUGACGGUUUGUGGGAAGUCAAAACGAGCAUAAGAGCUUGACAUUGUGUUUGUUAUACCCGCGCCGGGGGGGGGGUGAAAAUCUGUUGAGAUGGAAGAUAUUUGCCUCAUGCUUGCGAUCUGGUACGUGAUAUUCAGUGCCUGCCACAAUUUGGUGUGUUAUGUCUCACCCAGAUGGGUUCCAAAAAGUUAAGUAUGCUUUGGAGUCGUUUGCCUGAAAGGCACGCAUACACAUGUGUUUUCUGGAUGAUCAGUGAGACUCUCUGGUGAUGUGAAAGCAUAUUCUGAUCUGUAGAACUUUGCAUGACUAGUAGAUCGAUCAACAAUUCAGCAUAUAUAUUGACUUGAUACGUGUUGAUUGUUCGUGUAGUUUUGUGAUGUGCAAGUUUAGUUGGAUCCAUAGGACCUUUGCACGACUAAUUUUGUAAGUUUGGAUUUAUCAUUGUCAAGUUUUGUGGAAGUCUGGAGUCUAAGUGAAUAUUGAUGCGUACAUGUUCCAGUGUUUAGCUAUAAAUCAUGUGUAUGUGUAGGGCAGAAGUGAAACUAAUAAGAUUUUUUUUUUCUAUAUAUGCCAGUGUAACUAUGUUGUGAAAUAAGAAGAGAAUUUUUUGUAAGAGUAGGGACCAUUCUGUGGUUUGCCAUUUAUUUUGGCUGUGUGGUGGGCAUCAUGGACUACUAGAAACAGACUAAUAAUCUUUGAGCGCGGAUCCAUCAAGGAUCCUACUGACUGACCUUGUACUAUGUCACGUUUCUGCUGCAGCAAUGGAGGAUCCUAUGAAGCACCAAGACGCAGCAACUUUUUGUUGGUUGGCAUCGCUGAGCACUGGAGUCGGCGUUUUGCAGUUUCUUUUCUACUGUCAGUAGUUCAUGGGAGUUUUUCUAUUCAACUUAUCUGUUAGUAAGGGAGUCUUCAUGUAGUGUUGGGUUUGGUAGUAGCUUAUCUAGUUUUUUUUAGGUAUAGCCAUUUGGACAUGCCUAAAAAUUUGUUACAUUGUUUACAGUGAACUUUAAUAAUGUUGGUUGAAAGAAUCCUUCAUUCAUGAGUGAAUGUCUGCUCUUUUUUUU